UAAAGCGUGCGCAGGCGGUUAUGUAAGACAGAUGUGAAAUCCCCGGGCUCAACCUGGGAACUGCAUUUGUGACUGCAUGGCUAGAGUACGGUAGAGGGGGAUGGAAUUCCGCGUGUAGCAGUGAAAUGCGUAGAUAUGCGGAGGAACACCGAUGGCGAAGGCAAUCCCCUGGACCUGUACUGACGCUCAUGCACGAAAGCGUGGGGAGCAAACAGGAUUAGAUACCCCAU
Molecule: ribosomal RNA, 230 nt
Filed under: uncultured bacterium
Lineage: Bacteria
Description: partial 16S ribosomal RNA
Rfam family: Bacterial small subunit ribosomal RNA
Source: RNAcentral